CCUACGGGUGGCUGCAGUGGGGAAUAUUGGACAAUGGGGUGAACCCUGAUCCAGCCAUGCCGCGUGUGUGAAGAAGGCCCUCGGGUUGUAAAGCACUUUCAGUGAGGAAGAACGCCUGGUGGUUAAUACCCAUCAGGAAAGACAUCACUCACAGAAGAAGCACCGGCUAACUCCGUGCCAGCAGCCGCGGUAAUACGGAGGGUGCGAGCGUUAAUCGGAAUUACUGGGCGUAAAGCGCGCGUAGGUGGCUUGAUAAGCCGGUUGUGAAAGCCCCGGGCUCAACCUGGGAACGGCAUCCGGAACUGUCAAGCUAGAGUGCAGGAGAGGAAGGUAGAAUUCCCGGUGUAGCGGUGAAAUGCGUAGAGAUCGGGAGGAAUACCAGUGGCGAAGGCGGCCUUCUGGACUGACACUGACACUGAGGUGCGAAAGCGUGGGUAGCAAACAGGAUUAGAUACCCUAGUAGUC
This 465-nucleotide ribosomal RNA is filed under the name Vreelandella stevensii. RNAcentral describes it as "partial 16S ribosomal RNA". It matches the Rfam family "Bacterial small subunit ribosomal RNA", at positions 338 to 795 of the family's 1533-position model. Lineage: Bacteria; Pseudomonadati; Pseudomonadota; Gammaproteobacteria; Oceanospirillales; Halomonadaceae. The record is from RNAcentral.